Molecule: long non-coding RNA, 790 nt
Filed under: Homo sapiens (human)
Lineage: Eukaryota; Metazoa; Chordata; Mammalia; Primates; Hominidae
Description: novel transcript, antisense to CD48
Source: RNAcentral
GCAUGCAGGUGAGAAGGGAAGAUACAUGUAAUCUGCAUGUCUGCCACCAUUCCUUGUUACCCUUUUUCAUAUCCCAUGAGCACAGCACUCCAGCGGACCUACCCAAAAUAUGUGGGAGUUCAGUGAAACUCAAACAGCAUGCUUCUGGUCAGCCUAUACAGUCUCUGUCCUGGUGAGGAGCAUGAUCACCAACAGGCAAGAUCUUCUGGCCUUGAAGUUUCGCUUGAGUUAAAAGAGCUCAUCUCAGGACUUUCUGAAUUUUCAGCCCAUAUGACAUGGAAGAAGAGUUAGAAGGGGAAUCUGACUGCUUGGAUCAGGGACUGUCUGGCUGGUGGAACUUGAAUGUAUACAACACUCUUCAUUUGCAUGUUUUGACAUUUUAAAAAAUGUUUUCACUUUCCUUAUCUACUUUGACUCUAAUAACAUCCUGAAAGUCUGCAGGUGUACCCAACAGCUCCGAAGAGACAGUGACAUCGAGAACGGGCCAUGAUGACGAUGGCGGUUUUGUCGAAAAGAAAAGGGGGAAAUGUGGGGAAAAGCAAGAGAGAUGAGAUUGUUACUGUGUCUGUAUAGAAAGAAGUAGACAUAGGAGACUCCAUUUUGUUCUGUACUAAGAAAAAUUCUUCUGCCUUGAGAUGCUGUUAAUCUAUGACCUUACCCCCAACCCCGUGCUCUCUGAAACAUGUGCUGUGUCAAACUCAGGGUUAAAUGGAUUAAGGGCGGUGCAAGAUGUGCUUUGUUAAACAGAUGCUUGAAGGCAGCAUGCUCAUUAAGAGUCAUCACCACUCCC